Dermacentor andersoni is the source of this 1219-nucleotide long non-coding RNA. RefSeq lists it as uncharacterized. Lineage: Eukaryota; Metazoa; Arthropoda; Arachnida; Ixodida; Ixodidae. The record is from RefSeq and is a predicted model, not a curated record.
CUGGCUUCGAGUAAUCUGGGAGCGAAGACCAGGUGCCUUGCUGGCACGCCGGUCGAUGCUCGUACUAGAUUCCUUCAGAGGCCACUGCACUGAUGCGGUGAAGGCUCGCCUUGCCGAGACCAGCACCGACCUCGUCAUAAUACCUGGCGGCAUGACGUCCAUGCUACAGCCACUCGACGUGUGCCUGAACAAGCCGUUCAAGGCACACGUGAAGCGGCUGUAUGCCCAGUGGAUGGCCGACGGCAUUUACGCCCUCACACCGACGGGACGCGUGCGAAGGCCUGAUAUUCCAUUGCUGUGCCAGUGGAUCGUGGAUGCGUGGAAAGCGAUACUGGCCGAUUUGGUGCGCAAAAGCUUUAAAAAAUGUGCGAUCAGUAAUAGUUUGGAUGGUUCCGAGGACGACUACGUCUUUGAGAGUGGCGAUGAAGCCUCGGAUGGCAGUAGUGAGAGCGGCGACGAUUAAGAAUCGGAUAACCAGUGACGUGGUGGCGGUCGUUUGAAUAAAUGUUCUGAAAACGAAAUGAUCACUGAGUGUGAGUUGCAUCUUUCUAGCGCUCAUUUUUUUUUUUUUCAGGUAAACGUGCGGGUUAUACGCGAGUUUUUUUUCCGCCGAGUUCAAAGUUAGGGGUGCGGGUUAUACGCAGGGGCGGGUUAUACGCGGGUAAAUACGGUAACAUGUCUGAAAAUUCACGUUGUAUUACAUUUGGUUUUACUGCAGAAACCUCGCUGGGUGACGAGUUGGCUUGUGGUGAGUCUCUUUUCCUUCUCUGGCUGGCACAUCCAAAGGCAGGGUGAAUAAGAACCAAUUAUUUCAUGUGCUUUUCUAAACCACGUUUGGCUCUCUGUUUAGGUUCCCCUGGAUCCACGGCUCCCAGUGCUUCGCAGCAGCCAAUGUUGCCUGCACCACCAAUUCCACCUUGUCAAGGGAGUUGUUGUGCGGUCUGAAGCUGCCUUCAAGAUCAUGCGCAAUCUCAAGCCAACACUUGUCGUGAAGGACACGGCUGAAGCUGUGGAGGGGAAGGAUGUUUUAGAAAAGAAGAGCGUCACAUCACAGGGAUGGUGGCGUCACGGAAAAAAUGCCUGGGCGAAUUGGCUAAAGAGCCACUAACACCCGAGAUGGUUGCUGUUGUUACAGCCAUGCUGAAGCACUGGGGUGCAGAAAAGAACAUAGACGUGGAAUCAACACUCCUGAACCUGGGCCGCCUGCUGUCAGAGAAGA